CUUUAAGAUCAUCAAGUCCAACUGUAAUUUUGCUGGUAUGACAAGUUUGCGUGGUUCCUGCUGAGAAAAUUAAUUACUUGGGAAUCAAGAUGUAUAAAGUCACUCAUGACAAAGAAACAACAGCAUUUUAAACAAAAAAUUGCAGGUGAUCCCUGUGCCAAAAACUCCUGUCAGAGCUGGUAGCAGCAAACAAAUCAGUGAUGUGCAGGUUUCUUAACUUUAUAGUUAAUUGUUCAGACUAAAACGAAAAUAAGCACAUGAAAGACUGUAAUAAAGUAGUACUAAUACUUAUAAAGAUCAGAGCAUAUGCAUAUCUUCCUCUAUUUUGCUUUUCUUUGUAAUUUAAGAUGUUAGUUUAUUGCUAUAAAAUGAUCUAAAAUCAAA
Non-coding RNA from Cyanistes caeruleus (blue tit), 384 nucleotides. NCBI's taxonomy places the organism in Eukaryota, Metazoa, Chordata, Aves, Passeriformes, Paridae. The record is from RefSeq and is a predicted model, not a curated record.